GUGCCAGCCGCCGCGGUAAAACGUAGGUGGCAAGCGUUAUCCGGAUUUACUGGGCGUAAAGCAUGUGCAGACGGGUUGGUAAGUGGUGUAUGAAAGCGUCCGGCUUAACCGGGCAAGCGUAGGCCAGACUGCCAGUCUUGAGAGUGGGAGAGGGAUGUGGAAUUCCGGGUGUAGUGGUGAAAUGCGUAGAGAUCCGGAGGAACCCCAGAGGCGAAGGCGGCGUCCUGGCCCAUUUCUGACGUUCAGACAUGACAGCAUGGGGAGCGAACGGGAUUAGAAACCCCCGUAGUCC
This 292-nucleotide ribosomal RNA is filed under the name uncultured bacterium. RNAcentral's name for it is "partial 16S ribosomal RNA". It matches the Rfam family "Bacterial small subunit ribosomal RNA", at positions 505 to 796 of the family's 1533-position model. The record is from RNAcentral.